RNAcentral lists this transfer RNA (77 nucleotides) under Deltaproteobacteria bacterium. RNAcentral describes it as "tRNA-Met". It matches the Rfam family "tRNA". From Rfam's summary of the family: Transfer RNA (tRNA) molecules are approximately 80 nucleotides in length. Their secondary structure includes four short double-helical elements and three loops (D, anti-codon, and T loops). Further hydrogen bonds mediate the characteristic L-shaped molecular structure. tRNAs have two regions of fundamental functional importance: the anti-codon, which is responsible for specific mRNA codon recognition, and the 3' end, to which the tRNAs corresponding amino acid is attached (by aminoacyl-tRNA synthetases). tRNAs cope with the degeneracy of the genetic code in two manners: having more than one tRNA (with a specific anti-codon) for a particular amino acid; and 'wobble' base-pairing, i.e. permitting non-standard base-pairing at the 3rd anti-codon position. The record is from RNAcentral. Lineage: Bacteria; Pseudomonadati; Myxococcota; Myxococcia.
GGCGAUGUAGCUCAGUUGGUUAGAGCGAGGGUCUCAUAAUCCCUAGGUCGCUGGUUCGAAUCCAGCCAUCGCCACCA